This 478-nucleotide ribosomal RNA is filed under the name uncultured bacterium. RNAcentral's name for it is "partial 16S ribosomal RNA". It matches the Rfam family "Bacterial small subunit ribosomal RNA", at positions 28 to 507 of the family's 1533-position model. The record is from RNAcentral.
GAUGAACGCUGGCGGCGUGCUUAACACAUGCAAGUCGAACGAGAAGUGAAGACGGAAACCUUCGGGCGGAAGGCUUUAUUUCGAGUGGCGGACGGGUGAGUAACGCGUGGGUAACCUGCCUCAUACAGGGGGAUAACAGUUGGAAACGACUGUUAAUACCGCAUAAGACCACAGCACCGCAUGGUGCGGGGGUAAAAACUCCGGUGGUAUGAGAUGGACCCGCGUUCGAUUAGCCAGUUGGCGGGGUAACGGGCCAACACAGCGACGAUCGAUAGCCGAUCUGAGAGGAUGACCGGCGACAUCGGGAGUGAGACACGGUCCAAACUCCUACGGGAUGGAGCAGUGGGGAAUAGUGCACCAUGGGGGAAACCCUGAUGCAGCGACGCCGCGUGAGUGAAGAAGUAUUUCGGGAUGUAAAGCUCUAUUAGCAGGGAAGAAAAUGACGGUACCUGAGUAAGAAGCCCCGGCUAACUACGUG